RNAcentral lists this ribosomal RNA (377 nucleotides) under uncultured bacterium. RNAcentral describes it as "bacterial SSU rRNA". It matches the Rfam family "Bacterial small subunit ribosomal RNA", at positions 523 to 898 of the family's 1533-position model. The record is from RNAcentral.
AUACGUAGGGUGUUAGCGUUGUUCGGAAUUACUGGGCGUAAAGGGAGUGUAGGUGGAAACGUAAGUUAGGAGUGAAAUUUACAGGCUUAACCUGUAAACUGCUUUUAAUACUACGUAUCUAGAGUAUGGGAGAGGAUAAUGGAAUUUCAGGUGUAGCGGUAAAAUGCGUAGAUAUCUGAAAGAACACCAGUUGCGAAGGCGGUUAUCUGGCCCAAUACUGACACUGAGGCUCGAAAGUUGGGGGAGCAAACAGGAUUAGAUACCCUGGUAGUCCCAACCGUAAACGAUGGACACUAGAUGUUGGAUACUUUACAGUAUUCGGUGUCGUAGCUAACGCAUUAAGUGUCCCGCCUGGGGAGUACGCUCGCAAGGGUGAA